RNAcentral lists this non-coding RNA (91 nucleotides) under Megasphaera massiliensis. Its description in RNAcentral is "SAM riboswitch aptamer (S box leader)". It matches the Rfam family "SAM riboswitch aptamer (S box leader)". From Rfam's summary of the family: The SAM riboswitch is found upstream of a number of genes which code for proteins involved in methionine or cysteine biosynthesis in Gram-positive bacteria. The SAM riboswitch acts at the level of transcription termination control. The predicted structure consists of a complex stem-loop region followed by a single stem loop terminator region. Lineage: Bacteria; Bacillati; Bacillota; Negativicutes; Veillonellales; Veillonellaceae. RNAcentral also lists the same sequence under 1 other name. The record is from RNAcentral.
UUUAUCCAGAGCGGCGGAGGGACUGGCCCUAUGAAGCCCGGCAACCGAUAACACGGUGCUAAUUCCUGCGGAAACUAUUCCGAGAGAUAAA